GGGAGAGGGGGGUAUCAGGAGAAUAGACAGAAAAGAAAUCUUGAGCUCUUCUUCUUCAUUCCUGAAAACCACCAUUGACACGCCUUCACUUUCUUUUUUUAUUUUUUCUUACUCUCACCAUAACCAUCAUAUCAUCUUCUCCAUAGAGAGAAAGAUCAGAAAAUAAAAAAAAGAAACCUUCGGUUCUUCUACACUAAAACCGCACACACACAGAGUGAGAUGGCAAGAAGAGAGUAGAUCAAAAGAGAGAGGGAGUAGCAGAGAGAGAGAUUCUGGGUUGAGAGCUCCGGUAAGUUCGCCGAAAUCAGCCUCGAGUUCGCAUAUCGGUUUCUUUCUCGUUGUUCGAUAGACCUCUUCUCAAAAUCGCUCAAAAAACCAUUUUAUUUUCCUUCGAUUUUUGGACAAAACCUGGUCGUUGUUCACUGUUUUGGUUGUCUUGUCUUUGUUCACUUAUCGGAGCUUAGGUCAUACAAUUUCUUUAGCAGCUAUUAGACCAUUGAAGCCUUGGUUUAGUCUGUCUUGGUGAUUCGUUUUCGAAAUCAGGUUGCGGGAUUCAUUGACUCUCAUUUCGGGUUUUGGGUUUGAUUUUCAUUCGUAUUGACCUGUCUAUUAAGAUCAGUUUGUGAUCGAAAUCGGAGUUUGUCGCUGUUGAGGUUCUCCGUUCGAGUAUUUUGGUCUUCGGAUUUCUUUAUUAUCAUACAAGAACGUUCUAUCGAGGGAAUGCCCCGAAGUACUUGUAUUAUUUUAUCCGGAAAAUGCCCCAAAGUAUUUUGUACUCGGAGGACGUUCGUGAUGAAGGCCCGAGGCAUCGGGUAAAGCAUAGGAGCUUAGUUAGGAUUAGUAUGGAUUAGAUAGGAUUUAUUUACACAUUUUUUUAUUUUUGGAUUGUAUAAUUAGACUGAACAUUGUAUUUUUGGGGUUUGUUUUGGUUUGUGUUCAUUUGCUUGA
This is a long non-coding RNA of Capsicum annuum, 948 nucleotides long. RefSeq lists it as uncharacterized. The transcript has 2 exons. Lineage: Eukaryota; Viridiplantae; Streptophyta; Magnoliopsida; Solanales; Solanaceae. The record is from RefSeq and is a predicted model, not a curated record.